GUGAUACAGCUGGCAGCCUAAGUCCACAGCGAAGUCCAUCAACCGCCUGUGUCAGUGCAAGCCCCUGGUGACCGGAGCUUCAUGUGACCAAUGCAAAGCAAACUCCUUCCACCUUCACCCAAGUUCUCCUCUUGGCUGUGUGGAAUGCUUCUGCAUGGGCAUCACCAAGUCCUGUUCCAGUAGCUUCUACCAUAGAGAGCAGGAGGUGUUAAGGUUCUCGACUAGUACUGAGGGUGUCCAUCUGACAACUUUAGACAGGGCUACAACAAUUGACCGUGGACUGAAGCUGGAUCCCCGGAGCAAGGAGCUGGUUUAUCAGGACUUUGCAGCACAUC
Rhipicephalus sanguineus (brown dog tick) is the source of this 335-nucleotide long non-coding RNA. RefSeq lists it as uncharacterized. The transcript has 3 exons. Lineage: Eukaryota; Metazoa; Arthropoda; Arachnida; Ixodida; Ixodidae. The record is from RefSeq and is a predicted model, not a curated record.